ACGUCACAGCUACGUGCUAUUAACACGCAACCUUUCUUCCCAAUUGAAAGUGCUUUACAACCCUAAGGCCUUCUUCACACACGCGGCAUGGCUGCGUCAGGCUUUCGCCCAUUGCGCAAUAUUCCCC
This 127-nucleotide ribosomal RNA is filed under the name uncultured bacterium. Its description in RNAcentral is "partial 16S ribosomal RNA". The record is from RNAcentral.